RNAcentral lists this non-coding RNA (784 nucleotides) under Euryades corethrus. Lineage: Eukaryota; Metazoa; Arthropoda; Insecta; Lepidoptera; Papilionidae. The record is from RNAcentral.
AAAUAAAUUUUUAUAGUUUAAUAAUUUUAAUUUAAAUUUAUUUUACAUAUAAAUUAUAGUGUUAAUUUUCAAUUAUUUUAAUAAUAAUUAAAUUAAAUAUUUAAUAGUGAUUAAUAUUAAAAAUUUAAGAAAUUAAGAUUUAGUAAUUUUUAUAUUUAUUAACAAAUUUUGUGCCAGCAGUUGCGGUUAAACAAAAAAUAAUUUAAAUUUUAUCAGUAUAAUAAUAAAUAUUUUAAUAAUAAUAAUAGACAAUUAAUUAUUAGGUGAAAUUUUAAUUAAUUAAAAAUUUUAAAAUAUAAAUAUUAUUUAAAAAAUUUUUUUUAAAAACUAGGAUUAGAUACCCUAUUAUUAAAAAUUAAUUUAUAAAUACUAAAAUAGUAUAUAAUUAUUUAUAAAAACUUAAAUAAUUUGGCGGUAUUUUAGUUCAUUUAGAGGAAUCUGUCUAAUAAUUGAUAAUCCACGAAUAAAUUUACUUAAUUAUUAUAUCUUGUAUAUCGUUGUUAAAAAAAUAUUUUAGAAUAAUAAUAAUAUUUAAAAAUUUAAAAUUAAAAUUAAUUCAGAUCAAGAUGCAGAUUAUAAUUAAGAAUAAGAUGGAUUACAAUAAAUUAAUAAUUAAAUGGAUAAUAUUUUGUAAAAAAAAUUGAAAGUGGAUUUAAAUGUAAUUUUAUUUAAUUUAUUAAAAUGAUUAAAAAUUAAGAUAUGUACAUAUUGCCCGUCACUUUCAUUUUAAAAUUGAAAUAAGUCGUAACAAAGUAGGGGUACUGGAAAGUGUUCCUAGAAAGAA